UAGUGGCGAGCGUUAUUCGGAUUUACUGCGUGUAAAGGGCGUGUACGCCGGUCUGCAAGUCGAUGUAAAUUCCGGCUUAACUCGGGCGGUCAUCCGAAACUGCGGAUCUUGAGUACUGAGAGGAUAGUGAAUUCCUAGUGUAGCGGUGAAAUGCGUAGAGAUUAGGAAGAACACCAGUGGCGAAGGCGACUUACUGGACCGUAACUGACACUGAGGCACGAAAGCGUGGGUAGCAAACAGGAUUAGAUACCCUGGUAGUCCACGCCGUAAACGAUGAGUACUAGGUGUAGGGGGUAUCGACUCCCCCUGUGCCGCAGUUAACACAAUAAGUACUCCGCCUGGGAAGUACGAUCGCAAGAUUAAAACUCAAAGGAAUUGACGGGGGCCCGCACAAGCAGCGGAGCAUGUGGUUUAAUUCGAAGCAACGCGAAGAACCUUACCUAGACUUGACAUCCCCUGCAUUACUCGUAACUGAGGAAGUCCUUCGGGACAGGGAGACAAGUGGUGCAUGGUUGUCGUCAGCUCGUGUCGUGAGAUGUUAGGUUAAAUCCUGCAACGAGCGCAACCCUUAUCAUUAGUUGCUACCAUUCAGUUGAGCACUCUAGUGAGACUGCCUGGGUUAACCGGGAGGAAGGUGGGGAUGACGUCAAAUCAUCAUGCCCCUUAUGUCUAGGGCUACACACGUGCCUACCAAUGGUGAGUACAAAGAGAUGCCAUCCCGUGAGGGGGAGCCCACUUAUAAAACUCAUCUCAGUUCGGAUUGUAGGCUGAGACUCGCCUACAUGAAGACUGGAGGUGCUAGUAAUCCGCGAAUCAACAUGUCGCGGGUGCAAUACGUCCCGGCC
Molecule: ribosomal RNA, 845 nt
Filed under: uncultured bacterium
Lineage: Bacteria
Description: bacterial SSU rRNA
Rfam family: Bacterial small subunit ribosomal RNA
Source: RNAcentral